AUUGAACGCUGGCGGCAUGCCUUACACAUGCAAGUCGAACGGCAGCACGGGUGCUUGCACCUGGUGGCGAGUGGCGAACGGGUGAGUAAUACAUCGGAACAUGUCCUGUAGUGGGGGAUAGCCCGGCGAAAGCCGGAUUAAUACCGCAUACGAUCUACGGAUGAAAGCGGGGGACCUUCGGGCCUCGCGCUAUAGGGUUGGCCGAUGGAUGAUUAGCUAGUUGGUGGGGUAAAGGCCUACCAAGGCGACGAUCAGUAGCUGGUCUGAGAGGACGACCAGCCACACUGGGACUGAGACACGGCCCAGACUCCUACGGGAGGCAGCAGUGGGGAAUUUUGGACAAUGGGCGAAAGCCUGAUCCAGCAAUGCCGCGUGUGUGAAGAAGGCCUUCGGGUUGUAAAGCACUUUUGUCCGGAAAGAAAUCCUUGGCCCUAAUACGGUCGGGGGAUGACGGUACCGGAAGAAUAAGCACCGGCUAACUACGUG
RNAcentral lists this ribosomal RNA (486 nucleotides) under uncultured bacterium. Its description in RNAcentral is "partial 16S ribosomal RNA". It matches the Rfam family "Bacterial small subunit ribosomal RNA", at positions 30 to 507 of the family's 1533-position model. The record is from RNAcentral.